RNAcentral lists this ribosomal RNA (326 nucleotides) under uncultured soil bacterium. RNAcentral describes it as "bacterial SSU rRNA". It matches the Rfam family "Bacterial small subunit ribosomal RNA", at positions 26 to 354 of the family's 1533-position model. The record is from RNAcentral.
AGAUUGAACGCUGGCGGCAGGCCUAACACAUGCAAGUCGAGCGGCAGCACGGGUACUUGUACCUGGUGGCGAGCGGCGGACGGGUGAGUAAUGCCUAGGAAUCUGCCUGAUAGUGGGGGAUAACGCUCGGAAACGGACGCUAAUACCGCAUACGUCCUACGGGAGAAAGCAGGGGACCUUCGGGCCUUGCGCUAUCAGAUGAGCCUAGGUCGGAUUAGCUAGUUGGUGGGGUAAUGGCUCACCAAGGCGACGAUCCGUAACUGGUCUGAGAGGAUGAUCAGUCACACUGGAACUGAGACACGGUCCAGACCUCCGUACGGGAGCAG